GACGAACGCUGGCGGCGUGCUUAACACAUGCAAGUCGAACGGAAAGGCCCUGCUUUUGUGGGGUGCUCGAGUGGCGAACGUGUGAGUAACACGUGAGUAACCUGCCCUUUACUUUGUGAUAACUUCAGGAAACUGGGUCUAAUACCGGAUAGGAGCUCCUGCUGCAUGGUGUGGGUUGGUAUGUUUCGCCGGUUGGGGAUGGACUCGCGGCUUAUCAGCUUGUUUGUGUGGUAGUGGCUUACCAAGGCUUUGACGGGUAGCCGGCAUGAGAGGGUGACCGGCGACAUUGGGACUGAGAUACGGACCAGACUCCAACGGGAGGCAGCAGUGGGGAAUAUUGCACAAUGGGAGGAAGCGUGAUGCAGCAACGCCGCGUGCGGGAUGACGGCCUUCGGGUUGUAAACCGCUUUCGCCUGUGACGAAGCGUGAGUGACGGUAAUGGGUAAAGAAGCAACGGCUAACUACGUG
Molecule: ribosomal RNA, 468 nt
Filed under: uncultured bacterium
Lineage: Bacteria
Description: partial 16S ribosomal RNA
Rfam family: Bacterial small subunit ribosomal RNA
Source: RNAcentral